Molecule: ribosomal RNA, 208 nt
Filed under: uncultured Porphyromonadaceae bacterium
Lineage: Bacteria; Pseudomonadati; Bacteroidota; Bacteroidia; Bacteroidales; Porphyromonadaceae
Description: partial 16S ribosomal RNA
Rfam family: Bacterial small subunit ribosomal RNA
Source: RNAcentral
UGCGCAGGCGGGAGAUUAAGUCGGCGGUGAAAUUUUGCAGCUUAACUGUAAAAGUGCCUUCGAAACUGGUUUCCUUGAGUGUAGAUGAAGUAGGCGGAAUUUGUGGUGUAGCGGUGAAAUGCAUAGAUAUCACGAGGAACUCCGAUUGCGCAGGCAGCUUACUAAACUACUACUGACGCUCAGGCACGAAGGCGUGGGGAUCAAACAG